This is a non-coding RNA of Vicia faba (fava bean), 231 nucleotides long. The record is from the annotation of a GenBank genome assembly. NCBI's taxonomy places the organism in Eukaryota, Viridiplantae, Streptophyta, Magnoliopsida, Fabales, Fabaceae.
AUGGAUAGGAGUGAAGUACCGGUUCACACAGAGCUCGUCGACACUUUUGCAAUUGCAAAAAAUAGCCUCCCAAUUAUUUCUGGAGAUCGAGCCUUUACUUGCUACAACUCACAAUGCAUAUCUAAAAAAACAUGGAACAUUAUAAACAAAGAAGGUAUCAUCCAUUCGGUACUUUAUACUCAAAGUGAGGAUGAUCCAGUUGUGCUCACUGGUUGGUUGGAGAAAUUAUAG